Molecule: long non-coding RNA, 390 nt
Organism: Arvicola amphibius (Eurasian water vole)
Lineage: Eukaryota; Metazoa; Chordata; Mammalia; Rodentia; Cricetidae
Exons: 3
Source: RefSeq, a predicted model, not a curated record
CAGUAAAUGGCCUACCACACACAAGGAGGAUUGAAAGCAUGAAGAGUGUCAAAUCUUGUAUCAUGUCACAAAUCACAACUGUAACUUUUGCAUUUGGAGAGGAAGGAGAAAGAAGACAAGGACAUUAAAGAAGAGAGUCGGGGAGUGAAGAGGAAGGAUAGAUGAUGGCAGAGGAAGCAUGAGAGAGGGGAGAGAAGGAGAGAACACCUGAAGAAGAAGAUACUAGAGGUCAGAGAAGUCUUGGGUAUUCCACACGUCAUUGUGUGAAUCUGCACUCAUGAUCAUUAUAACAUGGAGAUGGCUGGGUGCUAUUCACAGCUUCACAAGCAACCCAGGUUCACCAUUGAACCUUCAUCCAGCGAUGGAUGGAGAUGACAGAGACCCACAUUG